RNAcentral lists this ribosomal RNA (253 nucleotides) under uncultured bacterium. Its description in RNAcentral is "partial 16S ribosomal RNA". It matches the Rfam family "Bacterial small subunit ribosomal RNA", at positions 524 to 776 of the family's 1533-position model. The record is from RNAcentral.
UACAGAGGGUGCUAGCGUUGUUCGGAAUCAUUGGGCGUAAAGGGCGUGUAGGCGGUUUGUUAAGUCAUGUGUGAAAUCCCUCGGCUCAACCGGGGAACGACGCAUGAAACUGGCAAGCUAGAGUACCAAAGAGGGGGGUGGAAUUCCCGGUGUAGCGGUGAAAUGCGUAGAUAUCAGGAAGAACACCCGUGGCUAAGGCGGUUCUCUAGUACGGUACUGACGCUGAGACGCGAAAGCGUGGGGAGCGAACAGG